RNAcentral lists this ribosomal RNA (413 nucleotides) under uncultured bacterium. RNAcentral's name for it is "bacterial SSU rRNA". It matches the Rfam family "Bacterial small subunit ribosomal RNA", at positions 130 to 518 of the family's 1533-position model. The record is from RNAcentral.
CUUCAUGUCUGGAAUAUACGCCAAAGGGGUACUAAUACCGGAUAUUCUUGACUUUUUCAUAAGUUAUAGCAAGCAAAGGUGGCCUCUGCAUAUGCUACUGCAUGAAGAGGGGUCUGCGUACCCAGUUUAGCUAGUAGGUGGGGGUAAUGGCCUACCUAGGCGACGAUGGUUAGCGGGUCUGAGAGGAUGAUCCGCCACACUGGCACUGGAACACGGGCCAGACUCCUACGGGAGGCAGCAGUGAGGAAUAUUGCGCAAUGGGGGAAACCCUGACGCAGCGACGCCGCGUGAGUGAGGAAGGCCUUCGGGUCGUAAAGCUCUGUCAAGAGGAAAGAAGUGUACAAUGGCUAAUACCUGUUGUAUUUGACGGUACCUCUAAAGGAAGCACCGGCUAACUCCGUGCCAGCCGCGGC